Molecule: ribosomal RNA, 253 nt
Filed under: uncultured bacterium
Lineage: Bacteria
Description: partial 16S ribosomal RNA
Rfam family: Bacterial small subunit ribosomal RNA
Source: RNAcentral
UACGUAGGUGGCAAGCGUUAUCCGGAUUUAUUGGGCGUAAAGGGAACGCAGGCGGUCUUUUAAGUCUGAUGUGAAAGCCUUCGGCUUAACCGGAGUAGUGCAUUGGAAACCGGGAGACUUGAGUGCAGAAGAGGAGAGUGGAACUCCAUGUGUAGCGGUGAAAUGCGUAGACAUAUGGAAGAACACCAGUGGCGAAAGCGGCUCUCUGGUCUGUAACUGACGCUGAGGUUCGAAAGCGUGGGUAGCAAACAGG